Long non-coding RNA from Cynoglossus semilaevis (tongue sole), 877 nucleotides. RefSeq lists it as uncharacterized. The transcript has 2 exons. The record is from RefSeq and is a predicted model, not a curated record. Lineage: Eukaryota; Metazoa; Chordata; Actinopteri; Pleuronectiformes; Cynoglossidae.
UUUGGAAAUGAAAGUCACUUCUGUUUGACUUCUGUUUGCAUUAUCAAAGAGACAACGGUCACAGAGGAGUGCUGUCAUGUGACUGAGCGAGGACUGCAGGAAUUUAUACAUCUGAGCGGAACGACGCGCAGGAACGUCACGAACCGCUGCCUUACACUGCCUAAACGUGUACACAUGAUGGACGUGCACGAGCUGGAAAUGUAACGCCGGCGUUCAGAAAACAUUUGAGUUGGGAAACGUGGUUUAAGAGAAGACGAUCGUGUCCUUCAGUCAACGGUGGCGGUUGGAUUUGUUUCAGGUGAGAAGUGUUGUAAAAAACAAAUGUCCUAAACUGGACAACCUGCAUUGAUUACAUAACCUUACACCUUUGACAAACAUCGUGCACUACAUAACUGUGUUGUACUGGAGUGCAUUUCUAAGCGACCGUUGGCUGUCGACUGUUUGUUCAACAGCACAUUUAUAACAGAGAAGAGCACAGGCUGCUGCUACUGCUGCUGCUGCAACUCAGCUUUUUUUGGUUCUGUUUUUUUCUUUCUGCCCUGCAACCUGUAACUGAGCAGCACUUGUUUACACAUCAUCUUUCCAUGGCUACAAAUGUCCACUCAACUGCUCAUUCAAGUCGACUGUGAAGAGUGAAGACUCAUAAUCUCUGACCUGACCUACGCUACAGCAGCUGAGCUCAGGAGCAAAACAUAAAAAAAAAAUUAAAAAAAAGUUAAUGAUUCACCAGUUAUUUUUUACAGCAAACUGAGAAUGUAAUGAAAAAAAAAAAAAAAAAAAAAAAAAAAGCACAUACCUUUGUGUGCUUACUGCAGAGAAGCCACCGCAGACAUGGUAGUGCAAUUCUGAACUCUGCUGUCAGGAGCGACCCGGGGCU